CAGUCGCCGCGGUAAUACGGAGGGGGCUAGCGUUGUUCGGAAUUACUGGGCGUAAAGCGCACGUAGGCGGCUUGGUAAGUUAGAGGUGAAAGCCUGGAGCUCAACUCCAGAAUUGCCUUUAAGACUGCCGAGCUAGCAGGUGAGAGAGGUAAGUGGAAUUCCGAGUGUAGAGGUGAAAUUCGUAGAUAUUCGGAAGAACACCAGUGGCGAAGGCGGCUUACUGGCUCAUACUGGACGCUGAGGUGCGAAAGCGUGGGGAGCAAACAGGAUUAGAUACCCCGGUAGUCCCUGUCUCUUAUAC
RNAcentral lists this ribosomal RNA (301 nucleotides) under uncultured bacterium. RNAcentral describes it as "partial 16S ribosomal RNA". It matches the Rfam family "Bacterial small subunit ribosomal RNA", at positions 509 to 807 of the family's 1533-position model. The record is from RNAcentral.